AGAGACAGCAGCAGCCACGGGAACACAGAGGGUGCGAGCGUUAAUCGGAUUUACUGGGCGUAAAGCGUGCGUAGGCGGCUUUUUAAGUCGGAUGUGAAAUCCCUGAGCUUAACUUAGGAAUUGCAUUCGAUACUGGGAAGCUAGAGUAUGGGAGAGGAUGGUAGAAUUCCAGGUGUAGCGGUGAAAUGCGUAGAGAUCUGGAGGAAUACCGAUGGCGAAGGCAGCCAUCUGGCCUAAUACUGACGCUGAGGUACGAAAGCAUGGGGAGCAAACAGGAUUAGAUACCCGAGUAGUCCCUGUCUCUUAUAC
This 309-nucleotide ribosomal RNA is filed under the name uncultured bacterium. RNAcentral's name for it is "partial 16S ribosomal RNA". It matches the Rfam family "Bacterial small subunit ribosomal RNA", at positions 504 to 807 of the family's 1533-position model. The record is from RNAcentral.